Small nucleolar RNA from Argentina anserina (silverweed cinquefoil), 137 nucleotides. RefSeq annotates it as small nucleolar RNA snoR137. Lineage: Eukaryota; Viridiplantae; Streptophyta; Magnoliopsida; Rosales; Rosaceae. The record is from RefSeq and is a predicted model, not a curated record. The transcript has a single exon.
GUUGCUUCUUAUGGUGAACUCCCUGUGAAUUGGUUGGGGCUGUUCAAGUUUCCGAAGCAUAGAUUACCAAUUGCCAGUAUUAAACAACACCGUGUAUGGUUUUGCUUACACUGUGUUACCUGUCUCCUGGUACAUGU